UGGGGGGUGGAGGGGUCCCUCAGCCCGGAAUGCGAGAGGGUGCAGGCCAGGCUGAGGGACCCCACUGGUGCAUG
RNAcentral lists this microRNA precursor (74 nucleotides) under Myotis brandtii (Brandt's bat). RNAcentral describes it as "mir-9193 microRNA precursor family". It matches the Rfam family "mir-9193 microRNA precursor family". The record is from Rfam by way of RNAcentral. Lineage: Eukaryota; Metazoa; Chordata; Mammalia; Chiroptera; Vespertilionidae.